UACAGGUGAGUUUUACAGAGAGAUGCUCUUGUAUCCGUCAACUUCCGAACCUACCAGUGAGUUCACAGAUCUCAUUUGCUUUCUCUAGCGCUCUGUCUGCAAACUUCCAUGGCCAACCUUCAUCUGUAGCCUUCGUCUUUUUGCAGUCGUUCAGGCUUCAGCUGACAGUUCACAACUCCACUUGUCAUCUUCGCUGGGACACAGGGAGGAGACUGUGCAGAAGUUGCUCAGCGAGUGUCAGUAGUGCAGUGGGGACGGCGUGCCAGGGCUGCUCGAGGGAAGCACGGAGAUACGGAGCUUUCUGAAGACUUUCCAACACCCUUCCCCUGGCCUUGCAGAAAGGUGAGCCAUGCAGCAGCAGGAGUCUCCGUGCUGCCCUCAGUGCCUGGCCUCCAUUGAGGAAGCCAUGAUCCCCUUGGACCAAGGCUGCUGGGGGCUCCUUCCCCACCCACAGAGCAUCCUGGCCCCAGGGAUGCUCCAAGAGACAUAGAGCUGCACCCCAAUAGGGCUGUGCCACACUGCACCCCUGGGGGCUGCAGGCCAUCGGGAGGGGCAGGGAGAGCUGCUGUAGGUGCUUAUGAGAGCUUUUGGCCGUACCUGCUGACUUGUCCAUCACGCAGUAGUCAGGUGAGUUCUCAAAAUACACCAGGUCUGUCUUCGUGGGCUUCCUGAAGUUCUUGUUGGCCACGGUGAAGCCGGUACCGUCCUGGUUCAUGAUCACCUGGAUGGCCCCGUUGUAUUUCUUCUGCAGGUAAUCCCCCGUUUUCCGGAAAUCCGACAUGGCCAGCCAACAAGUCCUUAGCGUGCAGGAGCCGCUGACCCCAUGGCAUUUGCACUCCAGCUUCAGGAAGCGCUUCACAGCCUGCAGGAAUGGGAGCACAUCAGGACUGGGAAUGGAGGCCACGACCAGCGGGACCAUCCUGGAUGUAUUCAAGGCCAGGCUGGCUGUGGCUCUGGGCAGCUGGUCUAGCGGUUGGCAACCCCGCGCGUAGCAGAGGGGUUGAAACGAGAUGAGCUUUGAGGUCCUUUUCAACCCAGGCCAUUCUAUGAUCCUAUGAAAGGAGCCCCAGGGAUGGGUUCUCCUCGGGAUGGCGGAGCUCUGCACCCUGCCCUGCCCCCACAAACACACCCCUGGCAGCCCUGGGAGGCGUCCCAGCCGCACUCACCAUCCUACCGCAGCGGUUGUUGUGCAGGUUCAUCAGCGCCCGCGCGUCCUUCACUUUCUUCUCCUUGGCAUCCACGAAGGCUUUGGCGAAGCGGAUGCCGUAGUUGAUGUUGUCGCUGCAGCCGCCCCAGUCGAACUCCCCGCGCUCAUCCUUGGCCCGGCCGCGCUUCAGUGGGUCACAGCCGCAGGCCUUCAGCUCCCCUUGGCUGCAGGCGCGCGUGAUGGCGUACACCACCCCGGCCGAGGAGAUGGCGUAGACGAAGGCGGCCUCCCUGCUGCCUGCGGGCACAGAGCCUGGGGGGGAGGAUGUGAAGAACCGUUCUCUCCCUCCCCCAUCCCAACCCACACCCCUGCAUCGGAGCACAACACGGGCACACAGCAGCACCUACUUCGCAGCAUCACCCUCCCGAAGACGGUGUGGUCCCGGUCCAGGGUGCUGCAGUUCCAGCGGUGGUGACGGAAUUGGUACUGGCACUCACGGAUCCACUCCUUGGCUCCCUCCCCGACGGACUGCAUGAUGUCGGGGUACCUCUGGCACAGCUGCCUCUGCUUGUUCACCAGCCCCGGGAUGUUGUCGCAGAUGACCCUCGCCCCCAGCGCCCCGAUGUACCUGCAGGGAGAAGGGAAUGGUGUGGAGGUGCCUGGAGGUGCACCUCUGGGCCCCAUCCCUGCUGCUGUGCGGCACAGGCACCAAUGCAGCUCAGGUGGAAGAGGAGGAGAUGUGAGCUUCACUUGCUGCUGCAGGCCUUGCUCAUGCUGCUAGCACCAAGCCAUGUUUAAGAUCAUGCCCUGAAGACAGACAGCUGGGGCUGUGCUGUGCUGUCUGUCCUGUGUGCACGCUGUCUGCACCUCCGUGCAUUGCUGGGAGCGGGCAGCAGCUCCAUACAGCAGCACAAUGCACAACCGUGCUUGGUGUGCAGUGGGCAGCUUUCCCCACCAACCGGGGGGAUCCUGGCUCUUCCUGCACCCAGCAGCCCUCAGGCCUGUGUGGACAAUGGAGACAUGGUGGAAUUUUCCAUCCCCAUCCCAUGCAUGCUCUGCCAGCAGCAGGCUGCUCUGCGCCGGGGAGUGAUUUUUGCCACAUACCACGGAGCUGUGAUUCUGGCUGCAAGGGAAGAGGUUUGGGUGGGAUUCAAAUGUUUCAAACCCCCAGACUGGAAAUAAGACCCUCCCUUUAAUCACACUAAAAAGCAAUAAACUUGGGCAAUAUGUCA
This is a long non-coding RNA of Gallus gallus (chicken), 2379 nucleotides long. RefSeq lists it as uncharacterized. NCBI's taxonomy places the organism in Eukaryota, Metazoa, Chordata, Aves, Galliformes, Phasianidae. The record is from RefSeq and is a predicted model, not a curated record. The transcript is spliced from 3 exons.